RNAcentral lists this ribosomal RNA (119 nucleotides) under Pteropus alecto (black flying fox). Lineage: Eukaryota; Metazoa; Chordata; Mammalia; Chiroptera; Pteropodidae. The record is from RNAcentral.
GGCUUUGGCCAUGCUUCUGUGAACAAGCCUGAUCCUGUCUGAUAUGGGAUGCUAAGCAGGGUCGGGCCUGGUUAGUACUUGAAUGGGAGACCACCCAGGAAGACUAGGUGCUAUAGGAG